AAAAAGACGAACCCUGAGUUUCCGUGUCCAACGUUUGACUAUCCGUCUUAUAUGAAAUUAUUUUAUAAUUAGUAUUUUCAUUAUUGUUAGAUGAUAAAACAUGAUUAAUACUUUAUGCGUGACUUGUCUUUUUUUUUCAUAAUUUUUUUUAAAUAAGACUUAUGUUCAAACGUUGAACACGGAAACCCAGGAUUUGUCUUUUU
This is a non-coding RNA of Oryza barthii, 203 nucleotides long. The record is from Rfam. Lineage: Eukaryota; Viridiplantae; Streptophyta; Magnoliopsida; Poales; Poaceae.